This 271-nucleotide long non-coding RNA is filed under the name Lepisosteus oculatus (spotted gar). RNAcentral's name for it is "lncRNA (ENSLOCG00000023054.1)". Lineage: Eukaryota; Metazoa; Chordata; Actinopteri; Semionotiformes; Lepisosteidae. The record is from RNAcentral.
CGAACCAACUACAGUGAUUAACAGCGCAGAUGACACUCAAUUCAGGCAAUUUAAAGCAAUUUAAAACAAGACUGAGGCUGCAGGAAUAAUUUAAAAAGUCAUUGCUGAGGUGGUGUAACAAAUAAUAGAUUGUCAUGGAACAAGAAAUAUAAUUUUGGUGAUUCAUCACACGCUUUGAAAGACUUUCUGGUUCCAAACAAAAGGUAGGAAAGAAGCAGUAAUGAUCAGGAUAUUAUAUUUCAUUGACAUUUUGCAGACCCAAGGUAAGAUU